This 61-nucleotide transfer RNA is filed under the name Pseudocuneopsis sichuanensis. RNAcentral describes it as "tRNA-Gly". Lineage: Eukaryota; Metazoa; Mollusca; Bivalvia; Unionida; Unionidae. The record is from RNAcentral.
AUAUUGGUAGUAUAAUUCUGUACAGUUGCCUUCCAAGCAAAAAGACCUAAAGGCUAAUAUA